CCCCGCCGGGCACGGAGGCAGCGCGACCCCGUGCCGCAGCCCCCCGCACCCCACGCUCCCCGUGCCCGGUGCCCGAGCGCUGCCGGUCCCGGGAGACCCCCGCCCUGGGACCCCGCAUCCCGGGACCAGCUGGAAAACCCGCACCUGGACCCCCAGCCCGGCCCCCCCAGCCCCAGCCGCACCCCCCGAGCAUCUCCGGUGCCUCCGGUGCCCCUGCCCGCGGCUGCCUCCGCUCGCCCGGCCCCGAGCGCGGCCGCUGCCCCUCGCGGGGUGCCCCGGGGACACCCCAGGGCGCUGGCAGCGCGCCCCGGUGCUGAGGUUUGGCUUUGGCCUCGGGCAGCGGGGGUGAGGCAGGUGCCCGCGGCCAAAGUGCGCGGGGUUAGGCUGCAGCAGGUGAGGUGAGAGCACGCAGAACUGGAAACACAUCCAGCAGGAGGAGGGAUGGACGGACGGACGGACGGAUGGAUGGACGGACAGAUGAAGGGAUGGAGGGAUGGAGGGAUGGAUGGGUGGGUGGGGAGAUCCUCAUGGAAAAGAGGGAGCUCCUCAUGCACACACAGAGAGCCCCGGAGGUGCAGAUGUAGCAGCUCUGCCAUCAUGCCGGGGGCAUGCUGGGGACGUGGCCCUGCUCCCCCUGGGGACAUGCUGGGGACCUGGCCCUGCUCCCCCUGAGGACACGGGUGCUGCCUGCACCAAGCCCCGAGGGGUCCCCCCUGUGCUGCUGCGCCUGCGGCUGAGCAGGGCUGGGGCUGUCCCCCCGUGCCGUCCCCACGAGCCCGAUGUGUCCCCACGGGAGCCACCCCUGGGUCACCACCGGCCAGGGCUGGCCGUGGGGUGGGGGACAGGGAUCCCCCAUGCAGGGUGGCCCCGUGGGGUGGCCGGCCAUGGGCAGCAAGCCGGGAUGUGGCCACAAGCCCUGCGUGGAGGUCUGUCCCUUUGGGACGGGGGAAUCCCUGUCCAGCCUGGGCGGUGGCACCCCAAGCAGUGCCGUGCCCCCCCGGCUGCCGCCUUCCCUUUCCUGGCAGUUUCGGUCGCUGGGGCUGCCACGCGCAGGGCUCCGGGAGGAAGCGGCUGUGGGCUCGGCCAGCUACGGGAUGGCCACCGAGGGGCCGGACCUGUACGAGAACCUGCAGAUCCGCUACCCGCACGUGCUGGAUUUCGGGUCCCGGCCGUCCCCGUCCCGCCGGGUGCUGGGCACUCUGCUGGCCGUGGGCUUGGCGGCCCUCCUGGCCCUGGGGGCCGCCCUGACGGCCGUCGCCACCCUGCGCGCACGGGACCAGGCGGAGCUGCGGGUGGCACGGGCAGAGCUGGAGGCGCUGGGGCCGCUGCUGCCGCCCGGCCCCGAUGGUUCACGGAGCCCCGGUGACAGCCCCGACGUGGCACAGAGGCGCAGGGACUUUUUGGGGCGGUGGCUGCAGGGGCUGGGCCUGGGCUGGAGGUACCACAAGGGGAAGAUCUACUACUUCUCGGGGGACCAGAAGCCCUGGCGCGAGGCGAAGGAGUUCUGCCUCUCCAAGCAGGCGCAGCUCACCUCCGUCACCAGCCGGGACGAGCAGGUGGGUGCGCGGGGCUCCGUGCCCUUCACCGCCUGCGUGCCCUGCAGCCAGCUGCCAGCUGCACCCCCGGGCACCCCGUGCCCGUGCCUUCCUGCCCCGUGUGCCCCCCCACCCCAUGCACCUCCCUGCCCCGUGCACCCUCCUGCUUGUGCCUUCCUGCCCCAUGUAG
RNAcentral lists this long non-coding RNA (1725 nucleotides) under Anser brachyrhynchus (Pink-footed goose). Its description in RNAcentral is "lncRNA (ENSABRG00000012333.1)". Lineage: Eukaryota; Metazoa; Chordata; Aves; Anseriformes; Anatidae. The record is from RNAcentral.